Molecule: long non-coding RNA, 518 nt
Filed under: Helianthus annuus (common sunflower)
Lineage: Eukaryota; Viridiplantae; Streptophyta; Magnoliopsida; Asterales; Asteraceae
Description: hypothetical non coding rna
Source: RNAcentral
AAAAUAACCUCUCAAACAAGCACACCCCAAGAUCCCUGCCCCCACCCUUUUUGCUUCAGUUCAACCACCAGAAUCACCCACAUCUCCAUCAUCGGCGACCACCGUAGGCGGCGGUGGCGUGGUGGAGUUUGUCGGCGAAAGAGAGAGGGAGAGAGAAGUGAUGUCAGGUCUGAUGGCCGGAAGAAAACGACGGUGGUUGGGGGAUUUGUCGAACGAUAACGCUGCAAUGGCCGUUGCAAUCUGAAUCGGUUGAAUGACACCAUUUCAGUCUGAAUCUUCAAGAGGAAGUGAAGAGAAGUUCUUGGAUGAAUCGGUCGAACGACACCGUUUGAAGAUUCUUAAAGUUUAAUAAAGUGAGUACAUCUUAAGUAGGAGUGGGUCUUCCGAGUUUGUUAUUGUUUGUAUUUCUGCUGCAAAUAACCUUGUUAUUUGUGUUUUUUUAGUAUAGUGGGCUACUAAAUUACAAUUAACAAAAAAUUAUCUUUGUAACUUAUUUGAGUAUUAAAUCACUUUCUACU